RNAcentral lists this ribosomal RNA (889 nucleotides) under Phlegmacium variecolor. RNAcentral's name for it is "eukaryotic LSU rRNA". It matches the Rfam family "Eukaryotic large subunit ribosomal RNA", at positions 63 to 938 of the family's 3401-position model. The record is from RNAcentral. Lineage: Eukaryota; Fungi; Basidiomycota; Agaricomycetes; Agaricales; Cortinariaceae.
AACUAACAAGGAUUCCCCUAGUAACUGCGAGUGAAGCGGGAAAAGCUCAAAUUUAAAAUCUGUCAGUCUUUGGCUGUCCGAGUUGUAAUCUAGAGAAGUGUUAUCCGCGCUGGACCGUGUACAAGUCUCCUGGAAUGGAGCGUCAUAGAGGGUGAGAAUCCCGUCUUUGACACGGACUGCCAGGGCUCUGUGAUGCGCUCUCAAAGAGUCGAGUUGUUUGGGAAUGCAGCUCAAAAUGGGUGGUAAAUUCCAUCUAAAGCUAAAUAUUGGCGAGAGACCGAUAGCGAACAAGUACCGUGAGGGAAAGAUGAAAAGAACUUUGGAAAGAGAGUUAAACAGUACGUGAAAUUGCUGAAAGGGAAACGCUUGAAGUCAGUCGCGUUGUCCAGGGAUCAACCUUGCUUUUGCUUGGUGUACUUUCUGGUUGACGGGUCAGCAUCAAUUUUGACUGUUGGAAAAAGGUCAAGGGAAUGUGGCAUCUUUAGAUGUGUUAUAGCCCUUGGUUGCAUACAAUGGUUGGGAUUGAGGAACUCAGCACGCCGCAAGGCCGGGAUGUUAUCCACGUACGUGCUUAGGAUGCUGGCAUAAUGGCUUUAAUCGACCCGUCUUGAAACACGGACCAAGGAGUCUAACAUGCCUGCGAGUGUUUGGGUGGAAAACCCGAGCGCGUAAUGAAAGUGAAAGUUGAGAUCCCUGUCGUGGGGAGCAUCGACGCCCGGACCAGACCUUUUGUGACGGUUCCGCGGUAGAGCAUGUAUGUUGGGACCCGAAAGAUGGUGAACUAUGCCUGAAUAGGGUGAAGCCAGAGGAAACUCUGGUGGAGGCUCGUAGCGAUUCUGACGUGCAAAUCGAUCGUCAAAUUUGGGUAUAGGGGCGAAAGACUAAUCGA